Molecule: ribosomal RNA, 2535 nt
Filed under: Triticum aestivum (bread wheat)
Lineage: Eukaryota; Viridiplantae; Streptophyta; Magnoliopsida; Poales; Poaceae
Description: partial small subunit ribosomal RNA
Source: RNAcentral
AUGGCGUUGUCCAUCGAAAUGGUAGAGUCCAACGGCAGCCCCACGGCGGUGCCCAGCUCGUCGGCCGGCAGCAGCAGCAGCAUACACGAGCCGUCGUGGGAGUACUAUCUGCGGAAGUAUCUCAUGCUGCUGGCCGGGCUGGUAGCUGCAGCGACCUACGAGGCGAGUUUCAGCACGCCCGGAGUGUCGCCGCCGGAGGAGAGCGAAAGCGGGCGCAUGGUCCUCAGGCUCACGCCUCAGUACAUCACAUUCGUCUACUUCAACGCUACCGCCUUCACGGCGUCGAUUGGGGUCAUCCUCCUCCUCCUCCUCCUCAACGAGAAGAGACCCGUCUGGCUGGCCGUGCUCCGGUUUGUCAUGGUGCUGGACCUUCUCGCCCUCAUGGGGGCCUAUGCCAGCGGAAGCUGCUUCGACGUGCCGUCCACGGUGUACACCUGGGUGCUGGUGGUCGCUCUCGCCGCCUACGUCGGCGUUCACAUCCUACUAGCUUCCUACACGCCGUCGGAAUCGGAAGUGGAGAGCCCCGAUGAGUCUCUCAAGCUCAGAGAGCAACGCAAGGUACUCAUGCUGCUCGCGACAUUCGCGGUGGGAAUCUCGUACACCGCUGGCCUGAGCCCGCCCGGCGGCGACGAGGAAGGGCACGGCCACCUGAAGGCCUUCUUCUACUGCAACACCACGGCGUUCGUGGCGUCGCUGCUCAUCAUCGUGCUGCUCCUGGUCCGGAGGCUGCAGAGCCGGUGCUGCGCCAUGGUGCAGCUGUGCGGGCUCAUCCUGGUCGUGCUGCUCGGCCUCCUGGGGGCCUACGUCGCCGGGAGCUGCGGGAAUGCGGGCUCCUCUGCCUACGUCAUCGCGCUGAUCGACCUGGUUCUCGUCUACAUCUUCCUAGUGAUGAUGGUGUUGGUGGUUGUCUCGAAUCCUCUCAAGAACACCAGCUGGCUACCACAUCAAUUUGUGUGUGCCUACUCUUCAUGCUCAAGUUGGCUGCAAAAAAGAGGGUUUGGAGAAGGACAACUGCAAGCAGAUAUACCAACAUCAGAUGGCGGUAGGCAACAACAAGGCAGCAACAUGGUCAUGGUAAUGGAUGAGGAGAAUGCAGAACCUGCAGGCAUGGAGAAGGUGAAGUCUCUCCUUCUGCUGCUUGCGACUCUCGUGGCAACCAUCACCUACCACGCGGGGCUGGACCCGCCGGGUGGCGUCUGGUCGCGGGACGGCCAGCGCCAGCAGAACAGCUACAAGGCCGGCGACCCGAUACUGUCAGUGAUGAACCCUAGCCGGUACAUGGUGUUCUUCUACUGCAAUUCGACCGCGUUCGUGGCGUCCUUGGUUGUCAUCCUCAUGGUCCGUGCGAGGGGCCUGAUCCGACGGCACACGCUCGAGGUGGCCAUGCUACUGUGCUUGCUUGGCCUCAUCGGCGCGUACGCGGCCGGGAGCUGCCGGGACGUGAUCACCACCGUCAAGCUCAUAGCCUUGCCAGCAGCUACGUUGGCGUACGUGGUAAUUCACGUCGUCUUCUUCACGUUGGACCACAAGGAAAUGAGCUACGAGGACAACAGGAAGCUGGAGAAGAGGCGCAAGCGCCUCCUGCUUCUCGCCAUUCUGGUGGCCACCAUCACUUACCAGGCUGGACUGACACCGACGGGGGGCUUCUGGACGGAGGGGCACCGUGCGGGAGACCCCAUCAUGGCCGACACUUACGGGAUGAGGUACCAAGCGUUCUUCUACUGCAACUCGACGAGCUUCAUGGUGUCCAUCACGCUCAUCAUCCUGCUCGUGAACCCGAACCUAUACAAGCCGGGCAUACGGUGCUACGCGCUGUACGUGUGCAUGGUGAUCGCCCUGUUCGGCCUGAUGGGUGCCUACCUCAGCGGGACCAUCCCCGAUCCACAGACGUCCAUGUACGUCUUCGUCCUGGUCGCCGUCGUAAUCACGCUGAUUGCCAUCACGGCCAUGGCGCUGCUGGUCCUGCUCAUAUUCGGCGAAGCCAAUGGAGGAGAAGACAGCAACCCAUCACGGCCAAGUCCGGCCGGCGACAGGGCAAUGAGGCGGCGACACAAGAGUGGGAAUAGUGCCAGGCGAAAGUACAUGAUGGUGCUCGCGAUCCUGGCCGCGAGCGUCACCUACCAGGCCGCCAUGAAGCCGCCGGGCGGCGACAAUGCGGGAAACUCCGUGAUGCGGCUCAACAACCCGGCCCGGUACAGCGCCUUCUUCUACUGCAACUCGACCUCGUUCGUGGCGUCGGUCGUCGUCAUCGUCCUGCUGCUGCAGGAGUCUCUGCAGAACAACGUCUUGCUGCUCUAUGCCAUGAACACGGCGAUCGUGCUCGACUUGUUCGGCCUCCUCACGGCGUACGCGGUCGGCAGCAGCCGGGAGUGGAAGGCGACGGGGUACGUCAUCGCGCUGUUCGCCGCCGUGCUCGCCUACAUCGGCAUCCACCUCGUGCUUUGGUUCCUGGGCAGGAGAGCCCGGGACAAAGUAAAUAAUAAUACUCCUGCGUGUGAACCGGAGGCUCAGAUAGAGAGCUCAACCAAUUGUUAA